CGGACGGGUGAGUAACACGUGGAUAACCUACCUAUAAGACUGGGAUAACUUCGGGAAACCGGAGCUAAUACCGGAUAAUAUAUUGAACCGCAUGGUUCAAUAGUGAAAGACGGUUUUGCUGUCACUUAUAGAUGGAUCCGCGCCGCAUUAGCUAGUUGGUAAGGUAACGGCUUACCAAGGCAACGAUGCGUAGCCGACCUGAGAGGGUGAUCGGUCACACUGGAACUGAGACACGGUCCAG
RNAcentral lists this ribosomal RNA (241 nucleotides) under uncultured Staphylococcus sp. Its description in RNAcentral is "partial 16S ribosomal RNA". It matches the Rfam family "Bacterial small subunit ribosomal RNA", at positions 99 to 334 of the family's 1533-position model. Lineage: Bacteria; Bacillati; Bacillota; Bacilli; Caryophanales; Staphylococcaceae. The record is from RNAcentral.